UACGAAGGGGGCUAGCGUUGCUCGGAAUUACUGGGCGUAAAGCGCACGUAGGCGGCUUUCUAAGUCGGGGGUGAAAUCCUGGAGCUCAACUCCAGAACUGCCUUCGAUACUGAAGAGCUUCGAGUUCGGGAGAGGUGAGUGGAACUGCGAGUGUAGAGGUGAAAUUCGUAGAUAUUCGCAAGAACACCAGUGGCGAAGGCGGCUCACUGGCC
Molecule: ribosomal RNA, 212 nt
Filed under: uncultured bacterium
Lineage: Bacteria
Description: partial 16S ribosomal RNA
Rfam family: Bacterial small subunit ribosomal RNA
Source: RNAcentral